Molecule: ribosomal RNA, 431 nt
Filed under: uncultured bacterium
Lineage: Bacteria
Description: partial 16S ribosomal RNA
Rfam family: Bacterial small subunit ribosomal RNA
Source: RNAcentral
AACGAACGCUGGCGGCAAGCUUAACACAUGCAAGUCGAGCGCACCGCAAGGUGAGCGGCAGACGGGUGAGUAACGCGUGGGAAUCUACCCAACCCUACGGAAUAACCCAGGGAAACUUGGACUAAUACCGUAUACGCCCUUUUGGGGAAAGAUUUAUCGGGGAUGGAUGAGCCCGCGUUGGAUUAGCUAGUUGGUGGGGUAAAGGCCUACCAAGGCGACGAUCCAUAGCUGGUCUGAGAGGAUGAUCAGCCACAUUGGGACUGAGACACGGCCCAAACUCCUACGGGAGGCAGCAGUGGGGAAUAUUGGACAAUGGGCGCAAGCCUGAUCCAGCCAUGCCGCGUGAGUGAUGAAGGCCUUAGGGUUGUAAAGCUCUUUCAGUAGGGAAGAUAAUGACGGUACCUACAGAAGAAGCCCCGGCUAACUUCGUG